This 292-nucleotide ribosomal RNA is filed under the name uncultured eukaryote. Its description in RNAcentral is "partial 18S ribosomal RNA". It matches the Rfam family "Eukaryotic small subunit ribosomal RNA", at positions 6 to 276 of the family's 1831-position model. The record is from RNAcentral.
GGUUGAUCCUGCCAGUAGCAUAUGCUUGUCUCAAGGACUAAGCCAUGCAUGUCUAAGUAUAAAUACCUUUAUACUGUGAAACUGCAGAAGGCUCAUUAAACCAGUUAUAAUUUAUUUGAUGGUGAAAUUGCUACAUGGAUACCCGUAGUAAUUCUAGAGCUAAUACAUGCGUAAAGUCCUGACUCUUUGCGGGAAGGGAUGUAUUUAUUAGAUAAAAAACCAAUCUGUGAGGGGGGGCAACCUUUUCUCGCAGCCCUGUGGUGAAUCAUAAUAACUGUUUCGAAUCGCACGC